Molecule: ribosomal RNA, 283 nt
Filed under: uncultured bacterium
Lineage: Bacteria
Description: partial 16S ribosomal RNA
Rfam family: Bacterial small subunit ribosomal RNA
Source: RNAcentral
GUAAAGGGUGCGUAGGCGGCAAUUUAAGUUGGAUGUGAAAUACCCGGGCUUAACCUGGGGGGUGCAUUCAAAACUGGAUAGCUAGAGUACAGGAGAGGGAAGCGGAAUUCCUAGUGUAGCGGUGAAAUGCGUAGAUAUUAGGAGGAACACCGGUGGCGAAGGCGGCUUUCUGGACUGAAACUGACGCUGAGGCACGAAAGCGUGGGGAGCAAACAGGAUUAGAUACCCUGGUGGUCCACGCUGUAAACGAUGAAUACUAGGUGUAGGGGGUAUAGACUCCCUC